RNAcentral lists this transfer RNA (74 nucleotides) under Idiophlebotomus longiforceps. RNAcentral's name for it is "tRNA-Ser". The record is from RNAcentral. Lineage: Eukaryota; Metazoa; Arthropoda; Insecta; Diptera; Psychodidae.
AAUGAGCUUGAUAAGCAUUUGUUUUGAAAACAUAAGAUAGAACUAUAUUCUAUUAACUUUACUAUUUUUAAUUA